Regulatory RNA element from Lachnospiraceae bacterium 28-4, 167 nucleotides. The record is from Rfam. NCBI's taxonomy places the organism in Bacteria, Bacillati, Bacillota, Clostridia, Lachnospirales, Lachnospiraceae.
UUGCGGAGGGAAAUGAGAUUUUCUUAAUAUUCCGUUCAAAAAACAGCAAUUUGGUGACAUGGAUGUCACCAAAAGCCCGCAGUGAGCCUGGAUGGCGAAUCGCGGGCGGUUGCGUCCGGCCAAUACAACUAUGCCGGAAUAUUUAGAAAAUUCAUUUUCCGAAGCUG